RNAcentral lists this ribosomal RNA (524 nucleotides) under uncultured bacterium. Its description in RNAcentral is "bacterial SSU rRNA". It matches the Rfam family "Bacterial small subunit ribosomal RNA", at positions 10 to 523 of the family's 1533-position model. The record is from RNAcentral.
AGUUUGAUCCUGGCUCAGAUUGAACGCUGGCGGCAGGCCUAACACAUGCAAGUCGAACGGUAACAGAGAGUAGCUUGCUACUUUGCUGACGAGUGGCGGACGGGUGAGUAAUGUCUGGGGAUCUGCCUGAUGGAGGGGGAUAACUACUGGAAACGGUAGCUAAUACCGCAUAAUGUCGCAAGACCAAAGCGGGGGACUUUCGGGCCUCGCACCAUCAGAUGAACCCAGAUGGGAUUAGCUAGUAGGUAAGGUAAUGGCUUACCUAGGCGACGAUCCCUAGCUGGUCUGAGAGGAUGACCAGCCACACUGGAACUGAGACACGGUCCAGACUCCUACGGGAGGCAGCAGUGGGGAAUAUUGCACAAUGGGCGCAAGCCUGAUGCAGCCAUGCCGCGUGUAUGAAGAAGGCCUUCGGGUUGUAAAGUACUUUCAGUCAGGAGGAAGGGUGCGAAAUUAAUACUUUCAUGCAUUGACGUUACUGACAGAAGAAGCACCGGCUAACUCCGUGCCAGCAGCCGCGGUAA